UACAGAGGUGGCAAGCGUUGUUCGGAAUUACUGGGCGUAAAGGGCGCGUAGGCGGCCUUCUAAGUCAGACGUGAAAUCCCCCGGCUUAACCUGGGAACUGCGUCUGAUACUGGGAGGCUAGAGUAUGGGAGAGGGAUGUAGAAUUCCAGGUGUAGCGGUGAAAUGCGCAGAUAUCAGGAGGAACACCAAUGGCGAAGGCAGCUCGCUGGGACGGUACUGACGCUGAGGCGCGAAAGCGUGGGGAGCAAACAGG
Molecule: ribosomal RNA, 253 nt
Filed under: uncultured bacterium
Lineage: Bacteria
Description: partial 16S ribosomal RNA
Rfam family: Bacterial small subunit ribosomal RNA
Source: RNAcentral